CCCGCUGAACUUAAGCAUAUCAGUAAGCGGAGGAAAAGAAACUAACGAGGAUUCCCCUAGUAACGGCGAGUGAAGCGGGAACAGCCCAUGACGAACUUGACGCGAGUCUAGAAUGUGUCGUGGAGCGGGGCUCGGUGCAGAGCGCGCGUCGCAGGUCCCCUGGAAAGGGGCGGCAGAGAGGGUGAGACCCCCGUGGCGACGUGCGCAGCGGCACAGCGAGCCUUGCAGCGAGUCGGAUUGUUUGGGAAUGCAAUCCCAAGCAGGUGGUACGCGCCAUCUAAGGCUAAACAGCGGCAAGAGACCGAUAGCAAACAAGUACCGUGAGGGAAAGAUGAAAAGGACUCUGAAGAGAGAGUCAAAAGUGCGUGAAAUUGCGCGGAGGGAAACGAAGGCGUGCUCUUUGCGUGACCGGCAUCUGCAUGCGGCGCAAGAAACGGCGUGGGAGGUGCCACGUGGCAACACGAGGACGUACAGCCAGGCCGAAUUGCGCGGGCGGGCACCCGGCACAGAGCGCGUCUUUGACCCGUCUUGAAACACGG
This 539-nucleotide ribosomal RNA is filed under the name uncultured fungus. RNAcentral describes it as "eukaryotic LSU rRNA". It matches the Rfam family "Eukaryotic large subunit ribosomal RNA", at positions 24 to 664 of the family's 3401-position model. The record is from RNAcentral. Lineage: Eukaryota; Fungi.